CAAACGACUCUCGGCAACGGAUAUCUCGGCUCACGCAUCGAUGAAGAACGUAGCAAAAUGCGAUACUUGGUGUGAAUUGCAGAAUCCCGUGAACCAUCGAGUUUUUGAACGCAAGUUGCGCCCAAAGCCAUUCGGCUGAGGGCACGUCUGCCUAGGCGUCACGC
RNAcentral lists this ribosomal RNA (164 nucleotides) under Eurybia macrophylla. RNAcentral describes it as "5.8S ribosomal RNA". It matches the Rfam family "5.8S ribosomal RNA". Rfam says of the family: 5.8S ribosomal RNA (5.8S rRNA) is a component of the large subunit of the eukaryotic ribosome. It is transcribed by RNA polymerase I as part of the 45S precursor that also contains 18S and 28S rRNA. Functionally, it is thought that 5.8S rRNA may be involved in ribosome translocation. The record is from RNAcentral. Lineage: Eukaryota; Viridiplantae; Streptophyta; Magnoliopsida; Asterales; Asteraceae.